Molecule: transfer RNA, 73 nt
Filed under: Daphnia magna
Lineage: Eukaryota; Metazoa; Arthropoda; Branchiopoda; Diplostraca; Daphniidae
Description: tRNA-Val
Rfam family: tRNA
About the family: Transfer RNA (tRNA) molecules are approximately 80 nucleotides in length. Their secondary structure includes four short double-helical elements and three loops (D, anti-codon, and T loops). Further hydrogen bonds mediate the characteristic L-shaped molecular structure. tRNAs have two regions of fundamental functional importance: the anti-codon, which is responsible for specific mRNA codon recognition, and the 3' end, to which the tRNAs corresponding amino acid is attached (by aminoacyl-tRNA synthetases). tRNAs cope with the degeneracy of the genetic code in two manners: having more than one tRNA (with a specific anti-codon) for a particular amino acid; and 'wobble' base-pairing, i.e. permitting non-standard base-pairing at the 3rd anti-codon position.
Source: RNAcentral
GUUCUCAUAGUGUAGCGGUUAUCACGUCGGCCUCACACGCUGAAUGUCCUCAGUUCGAUCCUGGGUGAGAACA